AUUGAACGCUGGCUGCAUGCCUUACACAUGCAAGUCGAACGGUAACAGGUCUUCGGAUGCUGACGAGUGGCGAACGGGUGAGUAAUACAUCGGAACGUGCCCAGACGUGGGGGAUAACGAGGCGAUAACUUUGCUAAUACCGCAUACGAUCUAAGGAUGAAAGCUGGGGACCGCCAGGCCUUGCGCGAUUGGAGCGGCCGAUGGCAGAUGAGGUCGUUGGUGCGAUAAAAGCUUACCAAGCCGGCGAUCUGUAGCUAGGCUGAGAUGACGACCAGCCACACCAGGAUGGAGACACGGCCCAGACCCCAACGGGAGGCAGCACAGGGGAAUUUUGGACAAGGGGCUAAAGCCUGACCCAGCAAUGCCGAGUGCAGUAUGAGGUGCUUGGGCUUGUAAUCUGAUUCUGUACGGAACGAAAAGGCACUGGCUAAUCCCUUGGGCACAUGCCGGUACCGUAUGAAUAAGCACCGGCUAACUACGUG
Molecule: ribosomal RNA, 482 nt
Filed under: uncultured bacterium
Lineage: Bacteria
Description: partial 16S ribosomal RNA
Rfam family: Bacterial small subunit ribosomal RNA
Source: RNAcentral